AAAACACAAGCCACGGUUUCCAAAGCUCUCCGGCGUGAGGGCUACACGGUUCUCCCUCGCGCUGAUCCAAGCAGCCAGGGAGAAAAACACGUUCCCGAGCCUGCCCCCUGAAGCCCUCGGGGCCGGGGUCGGGGUCGGGGCCGGGGCUGGGACCACCCUAUCGCUCCGGGGGGUCCCCGGGGCUCCCCGGCGGCCCGGGCACCGCAUCCCUCCGGGGGCCAGCCGGCAGCUCUCGCCUCCCUCGCAACUCGCAUCAGUGCGGGAGGCGUGGAUGACUCGGUCUCUCCAAAAAAACAAACAAAAAAACCCAUAAUAAUAAUAAUAAUGAUGGGAAAAAAAAAGAUCAAAAUAAACCCAACCCGCAUCCCUCGGCGGGAGGAAGGAGAGAUGCCCCGCCGCUUACCUUGCUCCGCGGGAGCCCGGGGCACCGCCGGGGGCUGGAGGAGGGAUUCCCCGGCGCUGGCAGGGGCUGCUCGGGCUUCCCCGGGCAGUGCGCGGCCGCCAAAGCCCCGGCGAGAGUGAGCUGGCAUUGAGAGCUACAAGACAUCUGGGACUGGGCUGUUGGAAAGGCUGGGUCCAGCAUGAGGAAGCCUUCACAACCUUCAACACCUCACAGCACCUGCCUUCUCCUGAGAUGGGGCUGCAUUGUUUUUCCUUCUCUUACUGCACAGAUCAUUUCAUUUCCACUUGGAGCAUAUCUAUAUAAUGCAACAAAAGUGCAAGGGUCACUGUAGCCACAGUGCUGUUGGCAUAAUACUCUACUGCUUCUUCACUGUAGAUACUGUCACACUGUAACUGAGGCUGCCACCAGUUCUUGUCAAAUUGGAGGCAUCAAGGCAUUUAUCAGACCAUGGCUGAACUCCUAAAUAAGAAGUAUUACUUGCCUUGCUUCUUUUUUUUACCACUGGCUUUGCAAAUUAAAUGUUUUAAACAUGAUGAAAAUGUCAGUUUCACAAAUGGUUUAUUGACCAAGCUGUUUUAUGUUUAGAAAGAAAUGUUCCUAUAAGUAAGAACUAUAUGAGCUGGACAGGGCAUAUAAACUGAAACAAAAGAAUGCCUUGAUUAAAUGUACUUAAAAGUUCGCCAUCAUGAUUAAUGGUUUUCUAAGCUUUCAAGAGUGCCCCAAUGACCAUAUAUUAAAUCAUGAAUGCUUUUUUGAAUAUGCUGUAUUGGCAGAUGUUCAUUAAAUGUACCCUUAUUACAUGUGUAUGUAUUUUCUUGAGUUCUUUACAGAUUAAUGUUUACACAUACGCGUCAGCCUUCUUACAGGAAAAAAUAGAUAAAAGAAACCACUGCCACCCUCAAAAAAGGUACCUUGUACUACAGUAGUAAAUAUGCUUUCGGUAUGCUUAAUUUUGUAGUCUUCCUGAGCUGGCCCAAUCUCAUUGCCAGAUUUUAACGUACAAAAACUUAUUAUGCUUACUAUAUUUAGAUAGGCAAUUCUGCAUAAUCUGGCUUUCCUCCUAAAUUACAUACAUUAUGACUCUUUUGAGCUUUCUUAUUACAUUACCAGUCUAAUGAA
Molecule: long non-coding RNA, 1522 nt
Filed under: Anas platyrhynchos platyrhynchos (common mallard)
Lineage: Eukaryota; Metazoa; Chordata; Aves; Anseriformes; Anatidae
Description: lncRNA (ENSAPLG00000030506.1)
Source: RNAcentral